RNAcentral lists this ribosomal RNA (807 nucleotides) under uncultured Campylobacter sp. RNAcentral describes it as "bacterial SSU rRNA". It matches the Rfam family "Bacterial small subunit ribosomal RNA", at positions 577 to 1381 of the family's 1533-position model. Lineage: Bacteria; Pseudomonadati; Campylobacterota; Epsilonproteobacteria; Campylobacterales; Campylobacteraceae. The record is from RNAcentral.
GGAUUAUCAAGUCUCUUGUGAAAUCCAACGGCUUAACCGUUGAACUGCUUGGGAAACUGGUAAUCUAGAGUGGGGGAGAGGCAGAUGGAAUUGGUGGUGUAGGGGUAAAAUCCGUAGAUAUCACCAAGAAUACCCAUUGCGAAGGCGAUCUGCUGGAACUUAACUGACGCUAAGGCGCGAAAGCGUGGGGAGCAAACAGGAUUAGAUACCCUGGUAGUCCACGCCCUAAACGAUGUAUGCUAGUUGUUGGGGUGCUAGUCAUCUCAGUAAUGCAGCUAACGCAUUAAGCAUACCGCCUGGGGAGUACGGUCGCAAGAUUAAAACUCAAAGGAAUAGACGGGGACCCGCACAAGCGGUGGAGCAUGUGGUUUAAUUCGAAGAUACGCGAAGAACCUUACCUGGGCUUGAUAUCCUAAGAACCUUAUAGAGAUAUGAGGGUGCUAGCUUGCUAGAACUUAGAGACAGGUGCUGCACGGCUGUCGUCAGCUCGUGUCGUGAGAUGUUGGGUUAAGUCCCGCAACGAGCGCAACCCACGUAUUUAGUUGCUAACACUUCGGGUGAGCACUCUAAAUAGACUGCCUUCGUAAGGAGGAGGAAGGUGUGGACGACGUCAAGUCAUCAUGGCCCUUAUGCCCAGGGCGACACACGUGCUACAAUGGCAUAUACAAUGAGACGCAAUACCGCGAGGUGGAGCAAAUCUAUAAAAUAUGUCCCAGUUCGGAUUGUUCUCUGCAACUCGAGAGCAUGAAGCCGGAAUCGCUAGUAAUCGUAGAUCAGCCAUGCUACGGUGAAUACGUUCCCGGGUCU